UAACAGCGUUAGGCAGCCCUGGUGCUCAUUAAACGCCUCUGACUGGAAGGAUGUAAUGAACCAGUUUUAUUACAAUAGUAAUUUCUUCCUAUCACAUUUGGUGGUUAUCUAUUCACGGGGGAUGUAGGGAAGGGAGGAGGAUCAGCACAGACCGGUGCAUUAAGAUAUAUUACUAUGGAGAAGCUGACACAAGAGUGUGUGGCUGACAGACAGCAGAGAGCUGAGGCAGAGAGCAGAAUAUCCCCAAGUCCAUUAUAACGGUGUCCAACUGACCUUUACAGAAAAUAUGUAAGAACAAUAAAAAAGGGCCUUUGUGGCUCUGGGUGCAGCUCGGAGGUGGUUUUGCAGCCCAUCUCCCAGCAGCUGCUCCUUGCCAUGGCGUGGGAUGCUGUGGGUGAGGUGGGGGAGCUCACAGCACUCCGAGUCCCUCAUAACCACAGCAAGUUUUCUACAUUUGUGCAAAGAGAUAAUCUGUGAUUCAUAACCAUUUAAAUAAAUGGCUAAUCAAUUUCUAUGGGUUGCUAUAGAGCCCAAUAAAUCAAACCCAGGCUGAUUAUAACCAUGGCUUAUAGCCAUCUCAUAAUACCUUCCACUGAUGUGCUUAUAAUAAUCUGUAACAUCCGCUACUGCUGUCGGUAACUCAUUUAAAACACCAGUUACUACUUUUUCAACUUACUAAAAGCGCAGAGAGAGUAAAUAUUCCUCAAUAUCUGUAAACCACGUGACCUUUCCUGGUUGCAAACUUAGGGCUAAAUCGAUGCUCAUCGGAGGCAAGGAAGGAUUCCUUACCUAUGAUGGUAAGGAAGGUGAUGGUAAGGAGGAUGAAGGUAAGGAAGGUGAAGGUAGGGAAGGUGAUGGUAGGGAAGGUGAUGGUAGGGAAGGUGAAGGUAAGGAAGGUGAAGGUAGGGAAGGUGAUGGUAGGGAAGGUGAUGGUAAGGAAGGUGAAGGUAAAGAAGGUGAUGUUUUGCAGCUGGGCUUGGCGAGGAUAGCCCUUUUCCAAGGGAGACAUAGGAGUUCAGAGUCAGAUCCAUCCCUUGGAAGACCCACACCUGAAUUUCUGCUUUCAAAGCCUACACAACAGCAGAGGAAUUAAAAACCUGUGAGCCUGGAUGCUUUCAGAUCCCGCAGCCACCAGGUUUUGCUUUUUUUUGCUCUGCCAACACAUCUAUUUUUUCUCUUUCUGCUUUGACUCACACAACUCUUUGGAAGAAGCUCCAUUGGCUUAAAUA
Long non-coding RNA from Gallus gallus (chicken), 1229 nucleotides. NCBI's taxonomy places the organism in Eukaryota, Metazoa, Chordata, Aves, Galliformes, Phasianidae. The record is from Ensembl.